This 207-nucleotide ribosomal RNA is filed under the name uncultured bacterium. Its description in RNAcentral is "partial 16S ribosomal RNA". It matches the Rfam family "Bacterial small subunit ribosomal RNA", at positions 568 to 774 of the family's 1533-position model. The record is from RNAcentral.
CGCGUAGGCGGCCGUUUAAGUCAGAUGUGAAAGCCCGGGGCUCAACCCCGGAAGUGCAUUUGAAACUGGGCGGCUUGAGUAUGGGAGAGGGAAGUGGAAUUCCUGGUGUAGAGGUGAAAUUCGUAGAUAUCAGGAGGAACACCGGUGGCGAAGGCGACUUCCUGGACCAAUACUGACGCUGAGGCGCGAAGGCGUGGGGAGCAAACA